This 252-nucleotide ribosomal RNA is filed under the name uncultured bacterium. RNAcentral's name for it is "partial 16S ribosomal RNA". It matches the Rfam family "Bacterial small subunit ribosomal RNA", at positions 524 to 776 of the family's 1533-position model. The record is from RNAcentral.
GACGAAGGGGGCUAGCGUUGUUCGGAAUUACUGGGCGUAAAGCGAGUGUAGGUGGUUGUCCAAGUUGGAUGUGAAAGCCUUGAGCUCAACUCAAGAAAUGCAUUCAGGACUGGGCGGCUAGAGGACCGGAGAGGAUAGUGGAAUUCCCAGUGUAGUGGUGAAAUACGUAGAGAUUGUGAAGAACACCAGUGGCGAAGGCGGCUAUCUGGACGGUACUGACGCUGAGGCGCGAAAGCGUGGGGAGCGAACAGG